RNAcentral lists this long non-coding RNA (263 nucleotides) under Phoenix dactylifera (date palm). RNAcentral describes it as "long non-coding RNA (PDAC_LNC011062)". The record is from RNAcentral. Lineage: Eukaryota; Viridiplantae; Streptophyta; Magnoliopsida; Arecales; Arecaceae.
GAGGGGGACUCUCUAAGACGGCCGUAAGGGCCUCAGUCCUAUCAUGGGGAUGAGUGGGAAAGAUCCCCUUUCAGGAAGAGAUGGAGGACUCGAGCAAUGAAGUCCUCCGAGAUAAAUACAGGGACACCCGCUACGGUUCCCUAGAUACCACCACUACCUCGGGCUACUGUCCCAUAAAAUUCCCUAACUAACCCUGGGUAAGUAGGGAGAUCUAAAGAACAGAACAACUCUAACCCUUGAGCCCUAAGAUGAUGCCCUAGGGU